ACAGAGCAUGCGCGAGGGGCUGGCCAGCUUGGUCUGUCCGUCCACUGAUUGGGCCGGCAAAGAAUCGCUCAGAGGCUUCCACCCGCUCCUGGGCUGGUAGACUCGGCCGGAAGCAUUGUUUUGGCGGGAGAACGCUGCCUUUCCCGCAGUCGCCGCAGAAAGGUUGAAAGAAAGAAAAAGAAAGAAAGAAGGACGAGGAAGAGACGGAAAAUUGAGUCUGAAAUUUUUCUUAAGGUAAUCAGGCUCGACCUAAUCAUUGACUGAAAAAAAUGAAGGCAUUUGGAACAGGACCUGGUCGCGGUAAGAUUGGCUAAGCAUUUAUUUUGUUUACUCUUUCAAAGAACAAGCUCAUC
RNAcentral lists this long non-coding RNA (353 nucleotides) under Fukomys damarensis (Damara mole-rat). RNAcentral's name for it is "lncRNA (ENSFDAG00000030833.1)". Lineage: Eukaryota; Metazoa; Chordata; Mammalia; Rodentia; Bathyergidae. The record is from RNAcentral.